GCGCUCACUUUGGCAGCAUUUAUGCUAAAAUUAGAACGAUACGGGUAAGGUGAGCAUGGCCCCUGUGCAAAGAUGACACACAAAUUCAUGAGCGGUCCAUAUUUUC
Molecule: non-coding RNA, 106 nt
Organism: Pteropus alecto (black flying fox)
Lineage: Eukaryota; Metazoa; Chordata; Mammalia; Chiroptera; Pteropodidae
Source: Rfam